AAGUCUGAACCAAGCCAAGUAGCGUGCAGGAUGACGGCCCUAUGGGUUGUAAACUGCUUUUUUAGGGGAAUAAAGUUAGCCACGUGUGGUUAUUUGCAUGUACCCUACGAAUAAGGACCGGCUAAUUCCGUGCCAGCAGCCGCGGUAAUACGGAAGGUCCGGGCGUUAUCCGGAUUUAUUGGGUUUAAAGGGAGCGCAGGCCGUUUGGUAAGCGUGUUGUGAAAUGUCCGGGCUCAACCUGGGCACUGCAGCGCGAACUGUCAGACUUGAGUGCACAGGAAGCGGGCGGAAUUCGUGGUGUAGCGGUGAAAUGCUUAGAUAUCACGAAGAACUCCAAUUGCGAAGGCAGCUCGCUGUAGUGUUACUGACGCUAAAGCUCGAAAGUGCGGGUAUCGAACAGGAUUAGAUACCCUGGUAGUCCGCACGGUAAACGAUGGAUGCCCGCUGUUUGCCCUUCGGGGUGAGUGGCUAAGCGAAAGCGUUAAGCAUCCCACCUGGGGAGUACGCCGGCAACGGUGAWRCUCAAAGGAAUUGACGGGGGCCCGCACAAGCGGAGGAACAUGUGGUUUAAUUCGAUGAUACGCGAGGAACCUUACCCGGGCUUGAAUUGCAGAUGACGGAUCUAGAGAUAGUGACUUCCUUCGGGACAUCUGUGAAGGUGCUGCAUGGUUGUCGUCAGCUCGUGCCGUGAGGUGUCGGCUUAAGUGCCAUAACGAGCGCAACCCUUCUCUUCAGUUGCCAUCAGGUUAAGCUGGGCACUCUGGAGACACUGCCACCGUAAGGUGUGAGGAAGGUGGGGAUGACGUCAAAUCAGCACGGCCCUUACGUCCGGGGCUACACACGUGUUACAAUGGCCGGUACAGAAAGUCGGAUGCCCGUAAGGUCAUUCUAAUCAAGAAAGCCGGUCCCAGUUCGGACUG
This 920-nucleotide ribosomal RNA is filed under the name Segatella bryantii. RNAcentral describes it as "bacterial SSU rRNA". It matches the Rfam family "Bacterial small subunit ribosomal RNA", at positions 379 to 1300 of the family's 1533-position model. The record is from RNAcentral. Lineage: Bacteria; Pseudomonadati; Bacteroidota; Bacteroidia; Bacteroidales; Prevotellaceae.